UACGUAGGGUGCGAGCGUUAAUCGGAAUUACUGGGCGUAAAGCGUGCGCAGGCGGUUCGUUGUGUCUGUGGUGAAAGCCCCGGGCUUAACCUGGGAAUGGCCAUGGAAACUGGCGAGCUGGAGUCUGGCAGAGGGGGGUGGACUUCCGCGUGUAGCAGUGAAAUGCGUAGAGAUGCGGAGGAACACCGAUGGCGAAGGCAGCCCCCUGGGCUAAGACUGACGCUCAGGCACGAAAGCGUGGGGAGCAAACAGG
RNAcentral lists this ribosomal RNA (253 nucleotides) under uncultured bacterium. RNAcentral's name for it is "partial 16S ribosomal RNA". It matches the Rfam family "Bacterial small subunit ribosomal RNA", at positions 524 to 776 of the family's 1533-position model. The record is from RNAcentral.